CUGUCCGCGUCCUCGUGCACACCUGCAGGCACUUUGGCUCCUGGCGAAGUUUUGCCGCCUCCCCCCCCCCACCCCACCAAAGCCUGGUCAAGACCGCAUGGAACCGGUCAAGAGGACAGGGGAGGAGGGAGGUGAGCAUGCCCCAGGGCCUGGCCCGGCCCGCCCGACCCCAACAGGCCCAGACUGAGCUGUGAUGAGGACAGCCUCGGGGGCUCCUGGGUCCAGCCCUCUGAUUUCCCCAGGAGCCAGUCCUCGCUGUGGGCUCCGCCCCGCAGGGCUUGGACCGCCCUCUGAGCUCCAGGCCCGUUGGGGGCCAUGUGGGGUGGGAUUCAAGGUGGAGGCUGCCUGGGUGGGACCCUGCCCCUCCCAUGCUCGCCACAGGGUUCUCAGGGGGUCGGCAGGCUCCAGAAGCCCUGGGCUGGGGCUACCCCCCCUAGUGUCUGUGCACUGGUUACAAAGAACCAAAUACCAGUUGUAACUCCAUCCAACUUUUUAAACAAGUCUGUUUAUUGAAAGAAUCUGAAAAUAGUAAUAAGGCUUUCGACAACAUUUAACAAAUUUUCAAGAUAUUAACAAUAUGAAACAUUAAGAAUUACUUCAAAAAAUCCCAAGUUUUCUAAAUCACUCCAAAUCAUGCUCCUUUCAGACUUGCUUUUUGUUUUUUUUUUUUGUCUAAAUGAACGACCUGAAUUCCGAACGCCACUCUCUUUUGGACCUAAAGCCAAGUUUUGGUUCGGCCCCCUCUCUGCCCCAGGGAGGCCGGGUGGCGGUGAGGGCCCACCUCCCUUUCGAGCCCCACGCCGACUGCCGAGCUCCACAGACGCUGAACCACGGACGCGGCAGAUGCGGGCACCCAGGCUGCACAGCCCGCCGCGCGGAGACCCCCGGCCGAAGGUGGUGGCACCCAGGGCCCCGGAGCCUUUCUAGCAGCUCCAGAAUGAGGCCUGUGACCCUCCAGGAGAGCAAGGCCCAGCCCCGUCCCUUCCGUUCUUGCCACCUUAACAGGUUAACGAUGUAGCUCAAAGAGAAAUCAGUCACUCCGAAACAGACGCCCGACUGGAGGACAUCUGUCAGGCAACAACCAGCAGGGGCCGGAGCCACACGCACACGCCCCGCGCGGCCUGAGGGGCCACUGGAAUGCUGGCAGUUUCCUCGCAAGCCCAAGACGCCCAGGGAGAAGCGAGAGCAGAAAGGACACAAAACGUCCCAGCACCGCCUUCCUCGCUGACCAGUGGCUUCCCGAGGGAGAAGCACCCUUCGCUCCUGGACCGUCACCUCUACGGCGACGAUGCUGAACACAGUGGUCCCAGCACACGGCGUCACACAGAACGCGUGCAAACAUCGGAACAAGGCUCCAUUUCCCAACAGUACAAAUCCCCUUCCCUCUUAAAUCUUCAGAGUGUACAAUAAAAUCUGUACAUAGCAGUUCAGAAA
Long non-coding RNA from Panthera uncia (snow leopard), 1434 nucleotides. RefSeq lists it as uncharacterized. The record is from RefSeq and is a predicted model, not a curated record. NCBI's taxonomy places the organism in Eukaryota, Metazoa, Chordata, Mammalia, Carnivora, Felidae. The transcript is spliced from 2 exons.